RNAcentral lists this transfer RNA (73 nucleotides) under Megalops atlanticus (tarpon). It matches the Rfam family "tRNA". From Rfam's summary of the family: Transfer RNA (tRNA) molecules are approximately 80 nucleotides in length. Their secondary structure includes four short double-helical elements and three loops (D, anti-codon, and T loops). The record is from Rfam by way of RNAcentral. Lineage: Eukaryota; Metazoa; Chordata; Actinopteri; Elopiformes; Megalopidae.
GUUUCCGUAGUGUAGUGGUUAUCAGGUUCGCCUCACACGCGAAAGGUCCCCAGUUCGAAACUGGGCGGGAACA